Molecule: ribosomal RNA, 264 nt
Filed under: uncultured archaeon
Lineage: Archaea
Description: partial 16S ribosomal RNA
Rfam family: Archaeal small subunit ribosomal RNA
Source: RNAcentral
ACAGUCACACAUUAGAUACCCCUGUAGUCCUGGCCGUAAACGAUGUGGACUUGGUGUUGGAAAUGGCUCCGAGCUGCUCCAGUGCCGAAGGGAAGCUGUUAAGCCCACCGCCUGGGAAGUACGGUCGCAAGACUGAAACUUAAAGGAAUUGGCGGGGAGCACCACAACGCGUGGAGCCUGCGGUUUAAUUGGAUUCAGCGCCGGACAUCUCACCAGGGCGACAGCAGAAUGAUGGCCAGGUUGAUGACCUUGCUUGACAAGCUG